GUUCUUAUCUUGUUGGAGCUCAGGAUCAGGGCUGAAGUAGAAGGCUUUGGAGCUGCUAAGGGUUGUGAGAGAGAGGAAUUUGGGAGAAUUUUGCAACUUCAACUCAGUAGAUAAUUGAGUUACAACUUGGAUUAGAGCAGCCAUGAUUUCUACUUGGAACUGAACCUUUUAAAUUGAUUUUGCGUACACUCCCACCAGUAGGAAGUAGAAUUCCUGCAGAGCCGCAACAAGAGAGGUGAACCUUGCGACUUGGGUUCGAUGAUUUUUGGAACAUAGUUUGGAGAUGAUUCUUCAACCCAAAGCUAACAACAAGCUGGACUGAAUUGGCGAAGCAGAUGUAGUGAUCACCUUGAGCUGAAUAUUGAGACUCUUUUGAGCUAAAUCAAGCCGAGUUGAGGUGCUUCAACCUGAAUUGAAGCAGAGGUUUAACUUUAGACUAAACUUAGGGGACUUGGAGACUUCAAAUUCCUACGAUUGUGAGUUCGACAAGAGUGGUCGAUUGGAAGAGCCUUCCACAGCGGGAAAGGUUAGGGUUUCCGGCAAGGUGUCAGCGGAUAGCUAGAGCCUCCUCGAUGUUAAUAGACGAAACCACUCCAGCACUUCUAGUUUAGUUUUGGGUUAUACUUUGGGUUUAUGUAGAAUGUAUUCGAUUUUUAUUUUGUAAUAAGGUUUUGGGUUGUAUAAGUUUAUACUUUUAAGUUGUGCUCUGAUUACCUGGUUAGA
Molecule: long non-coding RNA, 723 nt
Organism: Ananas comosus (pineapple)
Lineage: Eukaryota; Viridiplantae; Streptophyta; Magnoliopsida; Poales; Bromeliaceae
Exons: 7
Source: RefSeq, a predicted model, not a curated record